AUUGGCUACCAUGCCUGCCUCGCCUAUACUAAAAUCUAUACUAAAAUUGGAAUGAUAUAAAGAUUUGCAUUGCUCCUGUGCAAGGUUGGUACACAAAUUUGUGGAAUAGUCCAUAUUUUU
This 120-nucleotide small nuclear RNA is filed under the name Panthera pardus (leopard). The record is from RNAcentral. Lineage: Eukaryota; Metazoa; Chordata; Mammalia; Carnivora; Felidae.